AUUGAACGCUGGCGGCAUGCCUUACACAUGCAAGUCGAACGGUAACGGGCCUUCGGGUGCCGACGAGUGGCGAACGGGUGAGUAAUACAUCGGAACGUGCCCGAUCGUGGGGGAUAACGAGGCGAAAGCUUUGCUAAUACCGCAUACGAUCUACGGAUGAAAGCAGGGGACCGCAAGGCCUUGCGCGGACGGAGCGGCCGAUGGCAGAUUAGGUAGUUGGUGGGAUAAAAACUUACCAAGCCGACGAUCUGUAGCUGGUCUGAGAGGAUGAUCAGCCACACUGGGACUGAGACACGGCCCAGACUCCUACGGGAGGCAGCAGUGGGGAAUUUUGGACAAUGGGCGCAAGCCUGAUCCAGCCAUGCCGCGUGCAGGAUGAAGGCCUUCGGGUUGUAAACUGCUUUUGUACGGAACGAAAAGCCUUCUUUUAAUACAGGAGGGUCAUGACGGUACCGUAAGAAUAAGCACCGGCUAACUACGUG
This 482-nucleotide ribosomal RNA is filed under the name uncultured bacterium. RNAcentral's name for it is "partial 16S ribosomal RNA". It matches the Rfam family "Bacterial small subunit ribosomal RNA", at positions 30 to 507 of the family's 1533-position model. The record is from RNAcentral.